GGAAUUUUUAAUGUAUGGUACGCAAAAGGCCCAGCAAAAACCAAAAAGAAAAAAGAAAAACGAAAUUAUAUUCUCUCCCUCCACAAACCAAAGCCGAAACGAGAGCCCCAAAUUCCAAACCCUAAGCACAACUCCCCCAUCUCCGGCCAUACUUCUAGCCGCGGUAACGCCAUGCCCACUUUCAUUAAAGGUUUCGCUAUCAGUCGACCUACCAUAUCUGAUCAUUGUUGAAGCCCUCACCAUCUCCGACUGCAGUCAUUGUUAGACCAACAGACCUUGCAACAUGUUCCCGAUAAAUUACAGCCAUCGUCUCAACAGUAGGUGUGUUUAUUGUACCGGCGCCCAAUGAAAUAAGUCAAUCUUUUUUCAACUUUGCUUAAGUAGUAUGCUGUUUAUUUCAUUAGAAGGUGGUUUUCCUUCGAGAUGUCAUGCGUUGACUUGGAUUUUCGACAGAUUAUUAGGGAAUUUUUAGUAUUUAAUUAGUUCUUACUACUUGUGUUCUUCAAUUUUGAAACUAUAAUGAAUUAUGGAUUAUUGACUUUAUUGAAUUGUGUUUUUAACUAUAUUUUUUGGGUAUUUGCAGUAGUGGUAAAUUUUGGAACUAUAUUGAAUUGGUGGAUUAGCGACUUCACUUUUAUUGUUGGUGGUUGAAAUGGAUUAUUUGAUAGAUUUUAGUGGGGGUUGUAUUGUGUUUAAUAAGUUGUGAUUAAUUGUGUUAUCCAAUUUCAAAAUGUACUGGUGAAGUGAAACUAUAUUUCUUGGGUAUGUGCAUUAGUUCUCAAUUUUGGAACUUAAUUGAAUUGUUAGAUUACUAACUUCACCUUUAUUGUUGGUGGUCGAUUCCCUUCUUAGAAUGCCCAAAAGGAAUUUCGAAAUCUGUCAUAAUUAUAGAGUUAAAGAUCACUUCUUUGCCGAGUGCAAAAGAAUAUGCCCUUGCAUUUCAUACUAUGUGAGCAUGAAUUUGAGAAAUGUUUUGUUGUGGAAAAAGAGACUAAAAACAAAGGGAAAUUAUUCCUUUGUUGCAGUAACAAUUGUGGAUUUUGGGAGUAGGUUGUAAAGGAAAAAUGAAGCGGUCCAUCGAUUAACCUGC
Molecule: long non-coding RNA, 1090 nt
Filed under: Olea europaea subsp. europaea
Lineage: Eukaryota; Viridiplantae; Streptophyta; Magnoliopsida; Lamiales; Oleaceae
Source: RNAcentral